Molecule: ribosomal RNA, 448 nt
Filed under: uncultured bacterium
Lineage: Bacteria
Description: bacterial SSU rRNA
Rfam family: Bacterial small subunit ribosomal RNA
Source: RNAcentral
AGCGAACGCUGGCGGCAGGCUUAACACAUGCAAGUCGAACGGUCCUUCGGGACAGUGGCGGACGGGUGAGUAACACGUGGGAACGUGCCUUUAGGUUCGGAACAACUCAGGGAAACUUGAGCUAAUACCGGAUAAGCCCUUCGGGGGAAAGAUUUAUCGCCUUUAGAGCGGCCCGCGUCUGAUUAGCUAGUUGGUAGGGUAAAAGCCUACCAAGGCGACGAUCAGUAGCUGGUCUGAGAGGAUGGCCAGCCACACUGGGACUGAGACACGGCCCAGACUCCUACGGGAGGCAGCAGUGGGGAAUCUUGCGCAAUGGGCGAAAGCCUGACGCAGCCAUGCCGCGUGAAUGAUGAAGGUCUUAGGAUUGUAAAAUUCUUUCACCGGGGACGAUAAUGACGGUACCCGGAGAAGAAGCCCCGGCUAACUUCGUGCCAGCAGCCGCGGUAAC